This 381-nucleotide ribosomal RNA is filed under the name uncultured Nitrososphaerota archaeon. RNAcentral's name for it is "bacterial SSU rRNA". It matches the Rfam family "Archaeal small subunit ribosomal RNA", at positions 338 to 710 of the family's 1478-position model. The record is from RNAcentral. Lineage: Archaea; Thermoproteati; Nitrososphaerota.
GCGAAGAAAACUUUCGACUAAUGUUGCGAAACGGCACCGACAAGGUUAAUCCGAGUGGUUUCUGCUAAAAGGGAACCUUUUGGUCAGUCCUAGAAACACUGGUGAAUAAGGGGUGGGCAAGUUCUGGUGUCAGCCGCCGCGGUAAAACCAGCACCUCAAGUGGUCAGGAUGAUUAUUGGGCCUAAAGCAUCCGUAGCCUGCUUUGUUAGUUUUCGGUUAAAUCCAUACGCUCAACGUAUGGGCUGCCGGGAAUACUGCAAAGCUAGGGAGUGGGAGAGGUAGACGGUACUCGGUAGGAAGGGGUAAAAUCCUUUGAUCUAUUGAUGACCACCUGUGGCGAAGGCGGUCUACCAGAACACGUCCGACGGUGAGGGAUGAAAG